Molecule: ribosomal RNA, 374 nt
Filed under: Scleroderma sp. C27in
Lineage: Eukaryota; Fungi; Basidiomycota; Agaricomycetes; Boletales; Sclerodermataceae
Description: LSU rRNA
Rfam family: Bacterial large subunit ribosomal RNA
Source: RNAcentral
UAAGAGGAACCACUUUUCUAAUAAUUAAUAACUCCUGUUAUUAUUAGUCUUAAUAAAGUGGUGGCACAAAAUUGGAAGCCCCGACUGUUUACUAAAAACACAACUAUCUGCAAUGAUGUAAAUCAUAGUAUAGGUAGUGAGGUUUGCCCAAUGCCAUAAGCAUAAGAGACGUAAUGGGAAACUGUUAAAGAUCGAAAGCCUGGUUAAUAGCGGUCUUAACCUUGAGGAUCCUAAGGUAGCAAAAUAAAUUGGCCAUUAAAUGUGGUCCGGUAUCAAUAAUUUAACGAUGGCUUCACUGUCUCUACAACUUGCUCAGUGAAAUUGAAUUGUGAGUGCAGAUGCUCACUACUCGCAGGGGGACGGGAAGACCCUAU